Molecule: long non-coding RNA, 1894 nt
Filed under: Numida meleagris (helmeted guineafowl)
Lineage: Eukaryota; Metazoa; Chordata; Aves; Galliformes; Numididae
Description: lncRNA (ENSNMEG00000017833.1)
Source: RNAcentral
AGUUCUACUGAUGAGACUUGAUCUGAACCUUAUUAAAGACCUGUUCUUGAUGUAUAAGUGAAAUACAUUUAAAUAUAUACAGUAAUUCCUGUGGGGUUCAAUCAGACCUAAGUUGGUCCUCAGGAGUCCUGUACUUUGUGUAUGUUUACAAAGGAAAUUUUAGAGCUCUCAGUGCUCAUUUAUUGUGGUUUUUUUCACCAAGGAAAAGAACAAAAGAUCUAACAGCACUUGAAGUACUGGAAUAUACCUUAGAAAUUCUCCUGUCAUUAAAUGAAGAGAUUAGAGUGCUGACUGGAGGGAGCUGCACUGUUAGAUCAUCAGAUACAACUUGGCAAGAAAUUAUUCCUCAAGAAAUUGAAAUAAAAGCAAUACUGAGACUUUGAUGGUAGUAGCAACAUCAAUUACAGGAAGAAGAGAGAGCUGGACGGAGUUGUGUAUGUAGCUACUUCUGCAAGAAGCACAGUGGCAUCUGCCUUCCUGUCAGUGUUUUGAUAUCUGUUCUUAUGUCACUUGAUAAGAUAAUGUCAUGACCUUGCUGCAAGUAUGUGUGAAUAGUUCUGCCUCAGUGGAUUUUUUUCUGACUUCUAUUCAGGUUUUCUAUUGAACAAAACCUACACAUUUUCAUUAGUUUGCAAUGUUAAUUGUAAAACUUCUCUGUACAGUGGUAAGUGUAAGGUAUUUUCAGCUAAGGAAAACAUUUUGAAGUUAAAUCAGUAGUAUUCUUAAGUGCAGUAUGCAUGGAAAAUUAUUUUUAAGUGUUAUGCCAUGGUUUAGGAAGGAGAAAAGAGCCAAAGGGUGGGAGGGAACAGCAGGUUAGGGGCUAGAUAAAGUUAUAUAUGUAAAUACAAUUCCAAGAGAAUUCAUUCAUGGUACCAAGAGAGACAGCAGAGUUUGUGUCCAUCAUCUAUGAAAAAUUGUGAUACCCACGGUCUCCAAAAACUGGAAAAAAAAUCUAAUUAUGUUAUGAUGAGAUGAAAUUACAAGAUCCCAAGGAAAUGUAGGCUUCUCCUUGGUCUCUUAUCAGGAAACAUGACCUUUUGGAAUUAAUUUCCAAGCAAGAAGACAAUCAAACUAAUCACCAAGAAUUUACCAGGGCAAAUCUCUCAUGACACAUCUGCUUGCCUUUAUGAAGACAAGAAAAGUAUGUGAGAGGAGAGCAGGGUACUGUACCUUUACUAGUAAGGCUUUUGGCACCUGCUCUUCUGCAGUCUUAUUUGAAAAGAGAGGAACUGUGGGCUGUGCAAUAGGACUGUUACACUGGUUGUAAACCAGCUGGAUUGCCAACCUGCCAAGGUCUGGGUGCAGUAAUCAAUAGCUUGAUGUUCAUUUGGCAGACCCUAGGGUCAGUACUGGAGUUGACAUUACUCAGUAUCUCUAUCAGUGGCCUGGAUAAUGAGGCAGAAUUUACUCUCAACAAAUUUAUGGAUGAUGUUACAUCAGGGAGAAAAAGUGACUGACAGACAUGCCAAAUGGCAGAUUUUCAAUCUAGUAGGACCUCAGUGAAACAAAAAAUGGACCAACAGAAGUCUGAUGUUCAAUAUGAAGAAUACUAAUGCCUCAACUGAGAUACAAAUAACCAUGUAAAUCAGCACAGACUGGAAACUGACUAGUUGAGAAGCAAUCCUGCCAAAGAUGAUCUGAGUGGUCAGUGUAGAUGCCAGACUGCAUAACAUUGUGGUCUCAUUUCAGCUAAGACAAACUGCACAAACCAAGUAAAGUGAGUUACGUCAGGAAGAGCAGGAGCAGUGGAUCGAAGUUAUUGCCCUUGUUGUUUCCCUCUGCCUGUUACUGGUGAGAUCAUGCUGGAAAUUCAUACUAUUUCAGGCCUGCUUUUUAAGAAGGAUGUUGAAAAAAAACCAGGAGAUUGUCAAAUAAAGUUCUGCCAAGAUGGUCA